Hypomontagnella submonticulosa is the source of this 100-nucleotide non-coding RNA. Lineage: Eukaryota; Fungi; Ascomycota; Sordariomycetes; Xylariales; Hypoxylaceae. The record is from the annotation of a GenBank genome assembly.
GGCGCUUUGGCGGAGUGGUUAACGCGAUGCCCUGCUAUUGUUCGCACCAAUAGAUAAGGCAUUUCCUUCGGGAGCGCAGGUUCGAAUCCUGCAGGCGUCG